AAUACAACAUGAUCAGAUAUUAGCAACAACAAGUUAUUCGUUCGUCUACAUCACCAUUCUUGUUCAUAUUUACCAAUAUCCCUACUAUAUAAAGAAAAGAAAUAUAUAUUUUAAAUUUGUCAUUAUACAAGAUCUACGCUGCUUACUAUGAGAUAGCAUAUUACCACAAAUUAAACUUUGUAUACAUGAACAAGAAGUCAAUGAAGGAACUAGGGCUGGCUGUUGAAUUCUUCAAAGGACAUGAUGUCUAGCUUCUGACCGAUUAUAUUUGGAAGAGUGGUGUUU
Biomphalaria pfeifferi is the source of this 285-nucleotide non-coding RNA. The record is from the annotation of a GenBank genome assembly. Lineage: Eukaryota; Metazoa; Mollusca; Gastropoda; Planorbidae.